This 498-nucleotide ribosomal RNA is filed under the name uncultured Sphingobacteriales bacterium. RNAcentral's name for it is "bacterial SSU rRNA". It matches the Rfam family "Bacterial small subunit ribosomal RNA", at positions 903 to 1382 of the family's 1533-position model. The record is from RNAcentral. Lineage: Bacteria; Pseudomonadati; Bacteroidota; Sphingobacteriia; Sphingobacteriales.
GCCAGCCCGCUCAGAAACUUAAAGGAAUUGACGGGGCCCGCACAAGCGGAGGAGCAUGUGGUUUAAUUCGAUGAUACGCGAGGAACCUUACCUGGGCUCGAACGUAAGAUGACUGUAGGUGAAAGCUUACAUCUCUUCGGAGCAUUUUACGAGGUGCUGCAUGGUUGUCGUCAGCUCGUGCCGUGAGGUGUCGGGUUAAGUCCCAUAACGAGCGCAACCCCUACCUUUAGUUGCCAUCAGGUUAAGCUGGGGACUCUAAAGGAACUGCCUACGCAAGUAGUGAGGAAGGCGGGGAUGACGUCAAAUCAGCACGGCCCUUACGUCCAGGGCUACACACGUGCUACAAUGGCCGAUACAGAGGGCAGCUACCUGGUGACAGGAUGCAAAUCUCCAAAGUCGGUCUCAGUUCGGAUCGGAGUCUGCAACCCGACUCCGUGAAGUUGGAUUCGCUAGUAAUCGCGCAUCAGCCAUGGCGCGGUGAAUACGUUCCCGGGCCUU